Anthonomus grandis grandis is the source of this 5339-nucleotide long non-coding RNA. RefSeq lists it as uncharacterized. The record is from RefSeq and is a predicted model, not a curated record. The transcript is spliced from 3 exons. Lineage: Eukaryota; Metazoa; Arthropoda; Insecta; Coleoptera; Curculionidae.
UGUUGAAGGUUAGACACAUAAAUGUUAGAUCGUUGAUGCUUGAUACUCCGCUAGAUUUAAAAAAUUACAUUUGAUUACAAUUAUGAUAUUUUUGCUAUCACUGAAACUUGAUGGUCUGAUAUUAUUACUGAAAAUUUAUAUUACUGGCAAUGAAAACUAAUAUUGCUGGCUUUCAAUUAAUAAGCUAGGAUAGGUUUCCACGUGGGGAAGGAGUUGCUAUUUAUAUUAAGAAUUACUUAAAGUGUACGCCUUGUUUAAAUCAAGCUCUAGAAUAUCUGGAACACAUUUGAAUCAGGGUGCUGUUGUGUUAAUGGCACGCUCUGAUCACAAUGGACUUCUGAUCGGGAUAAUCAGGCGAGAAGUGGCUGGACGCUCCCUGGGGAUUCACAAGGCCAGGAGUCUUAAGGGGGGUGAGCGUGGCGCCUCUGGGGAAUGUAUUAAUCCGACCACCCUCAGGGCGAAACUAAACGAAACGAACCGUGUUGUGAUCGCUGCUCAGCUGACUGCUCUCCAAAGAGCGAUACUAGAACAGUUAAAUCUCUUCCUGAGGGUGGCCCAAAAGUGAAGUUCCAUGGAUGUUCGCAGAAACCCGCGUGGCUACAACUCCUUUGUGCUAACGAUUAAUCUGCAAAAUGGCUUGAAGAGGCUGCAGAGUUCAACCUUGACAGGGAGCUAGACUGAGGUUCGUGAGGGAGCCGACGUUCCACGAUCUCAUGUCUGCGUGGCAUACUGGACCGGUGGCAAUUUGGAAACGGCGAAACAAUAUAAACUCUCUUUUACAGCCUCUGUAAUACACUACUAACAGCAGCGGCUUGUGCAGCGGUACAGAUUUCGAAGGCACAGGGCUGCAUUUAAAUAAUUUUAUGAAUUUAAUUGACAUAUUUUAAAAAAUGAUUAUUUUCGUUUUAAUUUUAAAUAUAUUAUUAAAUGUACGGAACAUUCCGCCCACCUUGAAACGCAUGAGGAUACAGGCUUUCAAAGAAACCAUAUCUAAUGAAAUAUUAUACUUAAUUACAAGCUAAAUUAAAUUAGAAACUUGUAUAUAAACUUAUUUGUAAAAAAUAAACUUAAAAUAAAAUGUCACUAGGACUAGUCUUCACUUGGUGGGACGCACACCUUGCGAACUGAUCAGUGAUGUAAUCUCUGCACCAUAUCUUCCAGAAAUGUUGGAACAUUUGAGUUAAAAGUUGAUAUCGAGAAAGACGUCCUAUUUUAAUCUCCGUCAAGUCUGUCUCAGGAAUUGCAACUAGUGGACAGCCAAUUAAAAAAAUACCUGGCGUUAAUGGAUUAAGGUCAUCGGGGUCAUUGGGAAAGAGGUCUAGAAUUUAAGCAGGCUUCUACUUGAGUUAUUAUGGUAUUGAAUUCUUCGUAUGUCAAAGUGGUGUCUUACCAACAACUCGUUUCAAAUGAUAUUUUACUGCUUUAACAGCACUCUCCCAUAUUCCACCAAAAUGUGGAGAUCGCGGUGUUAAAAAUUUCCACGUCGUAUUAUGUGUUUGAUUUUAACGGACUGUAUAUUAAAAAAAAAAAUUAUUUGAGAAUAGUUUUUUUAAUAUACAGUCUCAAGUCAGAGAAUGGUUCAAACACUGCUAACGUUAAUUAAAAUCGACAAAAUAAAAGGAUACUAUACGUUCAAAAAAGCAAGAUGUAUUUUUCCUUUUAUUUAUAAGUGUAAGAACUUAACUAUAGUGAAAUUUGCAAAGAACAAUAACUCCCAUCAGCUUCUUCUUCAUCCAAAUCCUCAACAUUAUCCAUAGAGGAGUUCGAAAGAACUUCUUCCCUUUCCUCCACAUAACUCUCUUCAGACCACUUGCCAGAAACUUAUUCUAGUAUUGCCUGCAGAAUUUCUUGAGAUCUCUCAAACUUCUCUUUCAAUGCAUCUAUCCUAUCACUGGUCGUCUUCUUCCUAUGAGUCUUAGCUAAUUCUGGUUGUGAUUGAAAAUCAGAAUCAUCGUCUGAGACCAUCUCUGCGAGCUGCAUAGAAGCUUUCUUCUGAGAUAUCAAAAGAGGUUUUAAAUUUACAAUCGAUUGAGAGACAAGCUGACACUGAAGAUGGGACCCUCUAAUUUGCAUCGCCAAGGCCGACGGACUUAUAAUUAGCGCUUUACAAAACUCCCAUUGGAUCAUUUUGGACUUCAUAUCUCGGAAUUGUUUCUCAUUCAAACCGCUUGAAUUGCGAUCAAACGAUUUCGCAAUGCCUACAGUUGGUAGGGCAAAUCUGAUUUUAUUCAAAGUCUGAGAAUCAAUUUUUAAAUUGAUUGGUGCAACAAGUGCAAACAAAUUUUCCAUUCCCUCCAGCCAUCAGGAAGACUUUCUGCGGCAAGUUGUUUGAGGCGUCUUAAAAUAAGAUUAUCCUCUCCCUCACUUUCCUGCUCCGGCUCUUCAAACAGUUUGCCAAGUGUGGUAAAUUCGUUAGACAAUGCCAUCUGCAACAAAUAAAAUAUUGUUGCAGAUUGUUUUAAUUAGCCACCUAUAGUAACAAAACAAUUGAAGACAUUGUGCCGCGCGUGCACUUCAAAUUGAGCCAUAAUGCUCCAAAUCCGAACUGUUCUGUUCCAAAAUUGAGCCGCACAUCUUUCAACUUGAGACGCACGGCCCAACGUUGAGCCAUACGGCUCCAAAUUUGAGCCGCACGGCUGCGAAAUUGAGCCGCACGGCUCUCACUGGUUCAAAUCAGAACCCAGUAUUAGUAAUAUAGCAUAAUAUUUUGUUGCUUAGGAGCGAACAAAAUUAAAUAAAUAAUAUAGCGGGUGUUUAAGAACAAACGCCGCAUGUUGUACCAACAAAAAAAAAAUAGCUAGAAUCACAGAAAUAAAUCAAAUUUAAAAUAAAUAACACAUACCUCUGAAUUAUCCAUGGCACAAAACAUUAAAAAUAACAGCACAAGUCCGCGAACUCUUUAGUCAAUUUUAACGCUCUGAUUGCUUGGGAAAAUAAAAGGGUACUGAAAAAUGACAUACGAUGCACUAGCCGGCGUGGCGGCGCGCCGCCGCUAAGCGAAGACGGCACAACAGCGAACUACGAAAGAUAUGGAAGGGGCACGUCCAUAGGCGGAGAGUUAGAGGUAUAUCUACGCUUUUGAUGCAACGGAAAGUAGAAGCCUCGUCGCCCUCGGCUCUGCUCCGUACUUCGUCAUUUCCUAUCGCCAAACAGCUACGCAACGGCGACGACCGCGAUCGAUCGAUGAGCAAGAACGGGACUCCUCGACACGAGCCUAUUUCAUGUCCUAAUGGAUGCCAGCACGAUGGAAGGCUUCGUUAAUUAUGUUGUUAUUUAUUAAGCACUGAUAAAUUCAAUAUUCAUCUCGAAGGACCAAAUGGACCAUAGUGGUAUAGUUCUAUGGAAUCAGAGACUAGAGAAUUUAUUUAAUAACUUGCGUUUAUUAUGCACAGUUCCUCCACAGUUCGAAAACGGCGAAACUCUAUACAAAAAAAACAUAAACUUUCUCUUAUAGCCUCUGUAACACACUACUAACGGCAGCGGCUUAUGCCGCGGUACACAUUUUGAAGGCACAGGGCCGCAUUUAAAUAGUUUUAUGAAUUUAAUUGACAUAUUUUGAAAAAUUAUUAUUUUCCUUUUAAUUGUAAAUAUUUUAUUAAAUCUACAGAACACAUACCUUCCGGACGACGGUGAAAUCAUCAGAGAUGUCCGGAUGAUGUGCUAAUGCGUCUGGACUAAGGCUGACAAGAGCGAAGAACUGAGGAUUCGGACAAUAAGACGCCUAAUACGGCCUCAGCUCAAUCCUCAGAAGGGGCCGACCUGGAGGACUUUUAAGGUACUAUAAGCCAAUCUGCAGCAUGGUAGGGCUGCAAGCAAUGUCCUAGCAAAAAUAUUCGAUGAGGCGAAAAUCGACAUCGCUCUUAUCCAAAAACCACGGAGCUCCAAUAAAGGUCGAGUUUGUGGCCUGGUUAUAACCACUGACCUCUGCUACAAGGACAUCAUAGCGGCCCACGUCUAGUUGCCCCAUGCAGUUGCCACCCAUAGUUGCCCUCGGGUAGUGCAAACAUUAAUAACAGAGGUAAAUUAAUCAACUAUAUAAUUAAGGAGGAAAUAACAAUUAAUAAUACAAACUUUAACACUAAAAACAGAAAAAAGGUACUAGAUCUAACUAUUAGUUUAAACUAAUCAGAAAAAGAAAUAUGGAAAAACUCAAACCAUUAAUCCUCAGAGGUGAAACCAUCAAACUUGCGACAGACAAAACAUUCAAAAAAGCAAAACUGUCCCUAUGGAACUAGGGAUGAAUGCUGGAGAAUGAACCCAUAAGAGAUGCAGUGACCUCUCUGUACAUAUAUCUGCAGCGAUAAAAACCACUUACAGGCUGUACCAUGUCAUAAAUGGUAUCUCGCCAAACAAAGUCUGGAUGGAAUCAACUGAACUGGUUGAGGUGUGCAAUUAUAGCACACUCGGAAGGCCAUCAGACCUAAUGCCAAAAAAAAAUUAAAAUCAAGCUCAUGCUUGGUCAACAUACCAGAUUGAGCAAAGUGGGAUCAGAAACGGAUGGAGCUUAAGAAAGCGGACAUCCGAUUAUAUUUAAGUUCCAAAACCAAUUUUGGAGUAGGUGUACGAAUAUCACUUAUCCAAGAACAGAAAUAUCUAACUGCCAUAGGAAACACUCAUCAAUCUUACAAACGAAAUUACAUGCCAUUGAAAUCUGUGCAAGAAUGCUUAACCAAAUACAACUUGAAAACAAAACCAUCAAAAUCUACAGCAAUAGUCAAACGGCUCUAAAAGCGCUAGAAUCCUACCUACACAUCUAGAGCAAUAUGGAGCUGCAAAAACGAGCUCGUACUGCUUGGGGAAAGGAACAAAAUUCUCCUAAAAUAAAUACCGAGACAUGCUGGGCUUACAGGAAAUUGGGCGGCUGACAAGUUUGCCGAAAAAGGAGCAGAAUCCAACCUGAUAGGUCCAGAACUAGCAUUAGGCAAUGACGGCAAAAUACACAACUCUGGUGCGUAACUCUGAUAAGCAAAGAUUAUAAGGACACAAUUAUGCGAAGGCUUUCAUACCGGACGCAACAAGGAAAGUAACAAAACAUGCUUAGUCUGCAUGGAGUAUGGUUUCUUAUGAGAGUAAAGCAGUAGUACUUUUACAAAUUUCAAGGUGUUUGAUUUUAAGCCCAAAUUCUUAAAACUAAAUGUAACAUUUUCCAUGAAGAUGAAAAAAAGAUAUGAGGCUGUGCACAGUUUGCAUUCUCAACGUUCACGAAGAAUGCGCAGGGCUUACCAAAAAAUAAGAUUAAAUUAAGUUUGCUUGUCCAGACUGUUUAUAAUUAUAUUAGGUAAGAGUUUAAAAAUGUGUAUACCCUUCUCUUAAAUGAUUCAAAAAAUUGUAAGUUUGGU